Molecule: ribosomal RNA, 726 nt
Filed under: uncultured Bacteroidales bacterium
Lineage: Bacteria; Pseudomonadati; Bacteroidota; Bacteroidia; Bacteroidales
Description: bacterial SSU rRNA
Rfam family: Bacterial small subunit ribosomal RNA
Source: RNAcentral
UCGAGGGGCAGCAUGGUCUUAGCUUGCUAAGGCCGAUGGCGACCGGCGCACGGGUGAGUAACACGUAUCCAACCUGCCGUCUACUCUUGGACAGCCUUCUGAAAGGAAGAUUAAUACAAGAUGGCAUCAUGAGUCCGCAUGUUCACAUGAUUAAAGGUAUUCCGGUAGACGAUGGGGAUGCGUUCCAUUAGAUAGUAGGCGGGGUAACGGCCCACCUAGUCUUCGAUGGAUAGGGGUUCUGAGAGGAAGGUCCCCCACAUUGGAACUGAGACACGGUCCAAACUCCUACGGGAGGCAGCAGUGAGGAAUAUUGGUCAAUGGGCGAGAGCCUGAACCAGCCAAGUAGCGUGAAGGAUGACUGCCCUAUGGGUUGUAAACUUCUUUUAUAAAGGAAUAAAGUCGGGUAUGGAUACCCGUUUGCAUGUACUUUAUGAAUAAGGAUCGGCUAACUCCGUGCCAGCAGCCGCGGUAAUACGGAGGAUCCGAGCGUUAUCCGGAUUUAUUGGGUUUAAAGGGAGCGUAGAUGGAUGUUUAAGUCAGUUGUGAAAGUUUGCGGCUCAACCGUAAAAUUGCAGUUGAUACUGGAUAUCUUGAGUGCAGUUGAGGCAGGCGGAAUUCGUGGUGUAGCGGUGAAAUGCUUAGAUAUCACGAAGAACUCCGAUUGCGAAGGCAGCCUGCUAAGCUGCAACUGACAUUGAGGCUCGAAAGUGUGGGGUAUCAAACAGG